GAUGAACGCUAGCGGCAGGCCUAAUACAUGCAAGUCGAGGGGCAGCAUAGUAGCAAUACUGAUGGCGACCGGCGCACGGGUGCGUAACGCGUAUGCAACCUACCUUUUACUGGGGGAUAGCCCGGAGAAAUUCGGAUUAACACCGCAUAACAUAUUGAAUUGGCAUCAAUUUAAUAUUAAAUAUUUAUAGGUAAGAGAUGGGCAUGCGUCCAAUUAGCUAGNGGUGAGGUAAUGGCUCACCAAGGCUAUGAUUGGUAGGGGUUCUGAGAGGAACGGUCCCCCANACUGGUACUGAGAUACGGACCAGACUCCUACGGGAGGCAGCAGUAGGGAAUAGUUGGGCAAUGGGCAGAGCCUGACCCAGCCAUGCCGCGUGCAAGGAAGAAGGCCUUCGUGGGUUGUAAACUGUCUUUUGAUCGGG
Molecule: ribosomal RNA, 421 nt
Filed under: uncultured bacterium
Lineage: Bacteria
Description: bacterial SSU rRNA
Rfam family: Bacterial small subunit ribosomal RNA
Source: RNAcentral